GCUUGCUUGCUUUCGCUGACGAGUGGCGGACGGGUGAGUAAUGUCUGGGAAACUGCCUGAUGGAGGGGGAUAACUACUGGAAACGGUAGCUAAUACCGCAUAACGUCGCAAGACCAAAGAGGGGGACCUUCGGGCCUCUUGCCAUCGGAUGUGCCCAGAUGGGAUUAGCUUGUUGGUGGGGUAACGGCUCACCUAGGCGACGAUCCCUAGCUGGUCUGAGAGGAUGACCAGCCACACUGGAACUGAGACACGGUCCAGACUCCUACGGGAGGCAGCAGUGGGGAAUAUUGCACAAUGGGCGCAAGCCUGAUGCAGCCAUGCCGCGUGUAUGAAGAAGGCCUUCGGGUUGUAAAGUACUUUCAGCGGGGAGGAAGGGAGUAAAGUUAAUACCUUUGCUCAUUGACGUUACCCGCAGAAGAAGCACCGGCUAACUCCGUGCCAGCAGCCGCGGUAAUACGGAGGGUGCAAGCGUUAAUCGGAAUUACUGGGCGUAAAGCGCACGCAGGCGGUUUGUUAAGUCAGAUGUGAAAUCCCCGGGCUCAACCUGGGAACUGCAUCUGAUACUGGCAAGCUUGAGUCUCGUAGAGGGGGGUAGAAUUCCAGGUGUAGCGGUGAAAUGCGUAGAGAUCUGGAGGAAUACCGGUGGCGAAGGCGGCCCCCUGGACGAAGACUGACGCUCAGGUGCGAAAGCGUGGGGGAGCAAACAGGAUUAGAUACCCUGGUAGUCCACGCCGUAAACGAUGUCGACUUGGAGGUUGUGCCCUUGAGGCGUGGCUUCCGGAGCUAACGCGUUAAGUCGA
RNAcentral lists this ribosomal RNA (800 nucleotides) under bacterium RI23. RNAcentral describes it as "bacterial SSU rRNA". It matches the Rfam family "Bacterial small subunit ribosomal RNA", at positions 66 to 868 of the family's 1533-position model. The record is from RNAcentral.